GUCAAAUAACCCAAGGCUGACGGUGGAGACCUAGGCACCCAGAGACGAAGAAGGGCGCAGAAACCGGCGAGACGCUUCGGUGAGCUGGCAACAAGCAUUGAUCCGGAGAUUCCCUAAUAGGGCAACCUCAAGAACUGCCUCAUGUUUUCAAAGUGAGGUAAGAGAUAACCCGGUGAAUUGAAACAUCUUAGUAGCCGGAGGAAAAGAAAGCAAAAGCGAUUCCCCUAGUAGCGGCGAGCGAAUAGGGAACAGCCUAAACCGAUGAUUCGGGGUAGUGGGAGGACAUUAUUUUCUGAUUUUUUUUGUUUUUACUUUUGGUUUUUUUUUAUUAAAAAAAAAGAAAGUAAAAGUAAUGAAAAAACAAGAAAUAAAGAAUAAAAAAUUUAAAAAUUUAGACGAAGCAGUUGAAUGCUGUACCAUAGAUGGUGAAAGUCCAGUCGUCAAAAGAUUAAAAAAAGUCUUCUCCCAAGUAGCAUGGGGCACGUGGAAUCCCGUGUGAAUCUGCGAGGACCACCUCGUAAGGCUAAAAACUCCUGGGUGACCGAUAGCGAAAUAGUACCGCGAGGGAAAGUUGAAAAGAACCCCCGACGGGGAGUGAAAUAGAACAUGAAACCGUCAGCUAACAAGCAGUAGGAGGUGUUUUAUUUUUUUAAAAUAAAAAAGGAACUGACUGCGUGCCUGUUGAAGAAUGAGCCGGCGACUUAUAGGAAGUGGCUGGGUUAAAGAGUUGAAUCUGGAGCCCAAGCGAAAGCGAGUCUGAAUAGGGCUAAAAAUUAAGUCACUUCUUAUGGACCCGAACCCGGGUGAUCUCACCAUGACCAGGAUGAAACUUGGGUCACACUAAGAGGAGGUCCGAACCGACCGAUGUUGAAAAAUCGGCGGAUGAGUUGUGGUGAGCGGAGAAAUUCCAAUCGAACUCGGAGCUAGCUGGUUCUCCCCGAAAUGCGUUGAGGCGCAGCGGCCACGAAAAAAGAGCUGUCUAGUGGUAAAGCACUGUUUAGACGCGGGCUGCGAAAGCGGUACCAAGUCUUGGCAAACUCAGAAUACUAGGCAUAGCUUUCCGUGAGCCAGUGAGACGGUGGGGGAUAAGCUUCAUCGUCAAGAGGGAAACAGCCCAGAUCACCAGCUAAGGUCCCAAAAUGGCCGCUAAGUGGAAAAGGAUGUGAGAAUGCGGAAACAACCAGGAGGUUUGCUUAGAAGCAGCAACUCCUUUAAAGAGUGCGUAAUAGCUCACUGGUCAAGCGUUGUUGCGCCGAUAAUGCCCGGGACUAAGCGGCCUGCCGAAGCUGUGAGAUUAUAAAAAUCGGUAGGGGAGCGUUCUGCUUAGGGUGAAGCUUCUAUGUCAGUAGAGGUGGACAAAGCAGAAGUGAGAAUGUCGGCUUGAGUAACGAAAACAUUGGUGAGAAUCCAAUGCCCCGAAAACCUAAGGGUUCCUCUACAAGGCUCGUCCGUGGGGGGUGAGUCAGGACCUAAGGCGAGGCCGAGAGGCGUAGUCGAUGGAAAACAGGUUAAAAUUCCUGUACUGAUUUUUUUGGGAACCGAGUGACGAAGGAGGCUAAGCUGGAUCUGUUUAUGGAUAGUAGUGGAAACGUUCGAGGCUAUGAUAGAUAGAACAAAAAUUAUUUAGAGCGUAGGACGUGAUCCCGUUUUUCUUUCUUUUGAAAGAAAACCGCCAGUUACGUCAAACUUCCAAGAAAAACUUGAACUCUUUUUAAACUUUUUUAGUUUAAAAAACAAAAAAAUCACCUGUACCUGAAACCGACACAGGUAGGUAGGUAGAGAAAACCAAGGGGCGCGAGAGAACUCUCUCUAAGGAACUCGGCAAACUGGCCCCGUCACUUCGGGAGAAGGGGCGCCCUCUUAAUAAAGGGUCGCAGUGACCAGGCUCAGGCGACUGUUUACCAAAAACAUAGGUCUCCGAAAAGUCGUAAGACAAUUUAUGGGGGCUGACGCCUGCCCAGUGCCGGAAGGUGAAGGAAGUUGGUUAUUCUGUUAUUCAGAAAAAGCUGACAACCGAAGCCCCGGUGAACGGCGGCUGUAACUAUAACGGUCCUAAGGUAGCGAAAUUCAUUGUCGAGUAAGUUUCGACCUGCACGAAAGGCGUAACGAUCUGGGCGCUGUCUCGGAGAGAGACUCGGUGAAAUAGACUUGUCCGUGAAGAUGCGGACUUCCGAAACCUGGACAGAAAGACCCUAUGAAGCUUGACUGUAUCCUGGAAUUGGGUUCGGGCUUUUUUUGCGCAGCCUAGGUGGGAGGCUUUGAAGGUUCUCUGCAGGGAGAGCUGGAGCCAUCAUUGAGAGACCACUCUGAAAGAGCUAGAAUCCUCAUGGCGAUCUUUGAAUCAGGACGCUUGACAGUUUCAGGUGGACAGUUUAUCUGGGGCGGAUGCCUUCUAAAAGGUAACGAAGGCGUGCAAAGGUUCCCUCAGUCUGGACGGAAAUCAGACGCGGAGUGUAAAGGCAGAAGGGAGCUUGACUGCAAGACCUACAAGUCGAGCAGGGGCGAAAGCCGGCCUUAGUGAUCCGACGGUGCCGCGUGGAAGGGCCGUCGCUCAACGGAUAAAAGUUACUCUAGGGAAACAGGCUGAUCUUCCCCAAGAGUUCACAUCGACGGGAAGGUUUGGCACCUCGAUGUCGGCUCUUUGCAUCCUGGGGCGGUAGUACGUCCCAAGGGUUGGGCUGUUCGCCCAUGAAAGCAGUACGUGAGCUGGGUUCAGAACGUCGUGAGACAGUUCGGUCCAUAUCCGGUUUCGGCGUUAGAGCAUUGAGGGGAUCCUUCAUUAGUACGAGAGGACCUUGAAGGACGCACCUCUAGUCUACCAGUUCUUCUUCCAAGGGGAAACGCUGGGUAGCUACGUGCGGAGAAGAUAACCGCUGAAAGCAUCUAAGUGGGAAGCUCACCUCAAGAUGAGUGCUCUCCAUCAGGCCACGGUUAGACCAACCGAUUGAUAGGUGUUAAGUGUAAGAUCCGUAAUGAUCUGAGCUAAGACAAACUAAAGGCCGAUUGAUUUUGAC
This 3014-nucleotide ribosomal RNA is filed under the name Jenufa perforata. RNAcentral's name for it is "LSU rRNA". It matches the Rfam family "Bacterial large subunit ribosomal RNA". The record is from RNAcentral. Lineage: Eukaryota; Viridiplantae; Chlorophyta; Chlorophyceae.